GAGGAAUCUUGGACAAUGGGGGCAACCCUGAUCCAGCCAUGCCGCGUGAACGAUGAAGGCCUUAGGGUUGUAAAGUUCUUUCAACGGUGAAGAUAAUGACGGUAGCCGUAGAAGAAACCCCGGCUAACUCCGUGCCAGCAGCCGCGGUAAUACGGAGGGGGUUAGCGUUGUUCGGAAUUACUGGGCGUAAAGCGCACGUAGGCGGACUAUUAAGUCAGGGGUGAAAUCCCGGGGCUCAACCCCGGAACUGCCUUUGAUACUGGUAGUCUAGAGUUCGAGAGAGGUGAGUGGAAUUCCGAGUGUAGAGGUGAAAUUCGUAGAUAUUCGGAGGAACACCAGUGGCGAAGGCGGCUCACUGGCUCGAUACUGACGCUGAGGUGCGAAAGCGUGGGGAGCAAAC
This 400-nucleotide ribosomal RNA is filed under the name uncultured Paracoccaceae bacterium. RNAcentral describes it as "bacterial SSU rRNA". It matches the Rfam family "Bacterial small subunit ribosomal RNA", at positions 356 to 773 of the family's 1533-position model. The record is from RNAcentral. Lineage: Bacteria; Pseudomonadati; Pseudomonadota; Alphaproteobacteria; Rhodobacterales; Paracoccaceae.